AACAUGUGAAUUAAUGGGCAGCUAACUUUUGUUGCUGUGCACCCGUCCAUCUGGCUCACGGAAUACUCGCGGGAGGUUGGUUCCGCGGGCGGACGGGAGAUCAAAAAUGGGCGCAGCGCCGCGCCAAGAAAAAUGUGUAGCCCGAGCUGAGAUGGCAUGCCUCAAAACGUACGUUUUGGCGGCACGCUGUUUGCGCUCCCGAAGAAUUGUAGGACUCUCGGCAAUGGAUAUCUUGGCUCUCGCAUCGAUGAAGAGCGCAGCGAAAUGCGAUACGUGGUGCGAAUUGCAGAAUCCCGUGAACCAUCGAGUUUUUGAACGCAAGUUGCGCCCGAGGCCAACUGGCCAAGGGCACGUCCGCCUGGGCGUCAAGCAUGGCAUCGCUCCGUUCGACACCCGCCGUCAAUGGAUUGCGUCGGUGUUGUCCUGGAUGCGGAGAAUGGCUCGUCGUGCGCUUUGUUGCGCGGCGGGUUAAAGAUCGGGGUGAUUUUCUCUUUGCGAUGAUCGAUAUAAAUGGGUGGGAUUGCGGCCCGGUUGAUCCUCAUCAUCGUAUGGUUGCCUUGAGAAAGAUAAUGAUACCCCAGCUUAACCCGGCUCAGUUGUUGUUGGAAGCAAAUUGAAAUGCGGCCCCAGGAUGGGCGGGGUGACCCGCUGAGUUUAAGCAUAUCAAUAA
RNAcentral lists this ribosomal RNA (670 nucleotides) under Pterygodium cooperi. RNAcentral describes it as "eukaryotic LSU rRNA". The stretch from base 213 to 368 matches the Rfam family "5.8S ribosomal RNA". The record is from RNAcentral. Lineage: Eukaryota; Viridiplantae; Streptophyta; Magnoliopsida; Asparagales; Orchidaceae.